This 250-nucleotide ribosomal RNA is filed under the name uncultured bacterium. RNAcentral describes it as "partial 16S ribosomal RNA". It matches the Rfam family "Bacterial small subunit ribosomal RNA", at positions 524 to 774 of the family's 1533-position model. The record is from RNAcentral.
UACGUAGGGGGCGAGCGUUGUCCGGAAUUAUUGGGCGUAAAGGGUUCGCAGGCGGUCUGAUAAGUCAGAUGUGAAAGGCGUAGGCUUAACCAUAGUAAGCAUUUGAAACUGUCAGACUUGAGUAUUGGAGAGGCAAGUGGAAUUCCUAGUGUAGCGGUGAAGUGCGUAGAUAUUAGGAGGAACACCAGUGGCGAAGGCGGCUUUCUGGACUGUAACUGACACUGAGGCACGAAAGCGUGGGGAGCAAACA